RNAcentral lists this ribosomal RNA (498 nucleotides) under uncultured bacterium. RNAcentral's name for it is "partial 16S ribosomal RNA". It matches the Rfam family "Bacterial small subunit ribosomal RNA", at positions 30 to 523 of the family's 1533-position model. The record is from RNAcentral.
AUUGAACGCUGGCGGCAUGCCUUACACAUGCAAGUCGAACGGUAACAGGUCUUCGGAUGCUGACGAGUGGCGAACGGGUGAGUAAUACAUCGGAACGUGCCUAGUAGUGGGGGAUAACUACUCGAAAGAGUGGCUAAUACCGCAUGAGAUCUACGGAUGAAAGCAGGGGAUCGCAAGACCUUGUGCUACUAGAGCGGCCGAUGGCAGAUUAGGUAGUUGGUGGGAUAAAAGCUUACCAAGCCGACGAUCUGUAGCUGGUCUGAGAGGACGAUCAGCCACACUGGGACUGAGAAACGGCCCAGACUCCUACGGGAGGCAGCAGUGGGGAAUCUUGGACAAUGGGCGCAAGCCUGAUCCAGCAAUGCCGCGUGCAGGAUGAAGGCCUUCGGGUUGUAAACUGCUUUUGUACGGAACGAAAAGCCCCGGGUUAAUACCCUGGGGUCAUGACGGUACCGUAAGAAUAAGCAUCGGCUAACUACGUGCCAGCCGCCGCGGUAA